Long non-coding RNA from Bos taurus (domestic cattle), 1058 nucleotides. Lineage: Eukaryota; Metazoa; Chordata; Mammalia; Artiodactyla; Bovidae. The record is from Ensembl.
GCGGGCCGAGCAGCCCCUCCCAGCUCCCUUCGAGGCCCGGCCGCCGACCCUCCCUCAGCUGCAAGGCGCGUCCUUGGGGAGGGGCAGCUGCUGCCCUGUUUGCCGGCCACGGAAUCCCGUGGCUCUGGGCUCUACCGGAAGUGGCGGACGCGGGGCCGGGAAGCUGCGGUGCGGGGGCGGCCCGGGGGGUAGCUGGGGACGGGCUCGCUGUCCUGCUUCUCGGCUGUAAUCCGUACGGGUCUGGAGUUCUCUUGGAGGAUGCCAGUGUUCAGUGUGAUAAUAGUCUUAUCCCUGCUCCCGGGAGAGAGCACAGGACAGGAAAUCCACCCCAGCAAGACCCUCUAGAGCCCAGGGCAAAGAGCAACAACGAGGACUUUUCUCCCCAACAUUUUAUUGUGAAAAAUUUUCAAAUAUUCAUCCAAGUUAAAACUUUCUGCAACAGAUUCCUCUACACCCCCAGCUAGAUUCUGUGAACACAUGAGCACAUUCUAACCUGCAAUCUCACAUCCACUGUAUACUGACGACUUAAUAGGGGGUCAGCUGCCCUUGGUUUCAGCCUCCUGUCGCCCUGGCUUAGCAAGAUCACAAAGCCCUAGACAGCAAGGGAAGGAUCUGCCUUCUCCAACGACCUUUGGGUUUACUUCAGAACUUUCUGAAGAGGAGGCUUCUCCCCUCCGUGGCCUUUUAGAGGAAAGAUCCUCAAGGAUAAGAGACUUUUCUUCAGGUGAAUCUAACAGCAGGACUAGGACUCGGUUGACACCUACCUACCUAGGAGGCUCUGGCGAACAGUCCUUCGUGGGUUUGGCUCCUUUCUAGAGGAAAGAGGCUGUUGUCACGUUCGAGCUGUCCCCUCUACCUGGAAAAGCCGCCUCCGGCCCCGAUACCCCACGCCCCCCGGGGGUCUGACCAAAUGUCUGCGGACUUCCACCAGGGCGCCUCCCAUGAGGCGGGGCGGGACGGAGGGUCCACCCGUGAGCCCAGCCUCUCCCCCAGACCCGUAACUUCCUGAGGGAGGGAGGGGACUCUGGCACGCAGUCAACGGUCAGUGGAGGCCGGCU